Betaproteobacteria bacterium is the source of this 99-nucleotide non-coding RNA. The record is from Rfam. NCBI's taxonomy places the organism in Bacteria, Pseudomonadati, Pseudomonadota, Betaproteobacteria.
GGCGGGCCGCCCCGCAUUGCAGCGUAGUGAAUCUGGUCAGGUCCGGAAGGAAGCAGCCACAGCUAUUUACUGUAAGUGCCGGGGGUCCGGCUCGCCAUA